AGUGAACGCUGGCGGUAGGCCUAACACAUGCAAGUCGAACGGCAGCACAGUAAGAGCUUGCUCUUACGGGUGGCGAGUGGCGGACGGGUGCGGAAUACAUCGGAAUCUACUUUUUCGUGGGGGAUAACGUAGGGAAACUUACGCUAAUACCGCAUACGACCUACGGGUGAAAGCAUGGGAUCUUCCGACCUUGCGCGAUUGAAUGAGCCGAUGUCGGAUUAGCUAGUUGGCGGGGUAAAGGCCCACCAAGGCGACGAUCCGUAGCUGGUCUGAGAGGAUGAUCAGCCACACUGGAACUGAGACACGGUCCAGACUCCUACGGGAGGCAGCAGUGGGGAAUAUUGGACAAUGGGCGCAAGCCUGAUCCAGCCAUACCGCGUGGGUGAAGAAGGCCUUCGGGUUGUAAAGCCCUUUUGUUGGGAAAGAAAAGCAGCAGGUUAAUACCCCGCUGUUCUGACGGUACCCAAAGAAUAAGCACCGGCUAACUUCGUG
RNAcentral lists this ribosomal RNA (492 nucleotides) under uncultured bacterium. RNAcentral describes it as "partial 16S ribosomal RNA". It matches the Rfam family "Bacterial small subunit ribosomal RNA", at positions 29 to 507 of the family's 1533-position model. The record is from RNAcentral.